Molecule: small nucleolar RNA, 94 nt
Organism: Zingiber officinale
Lineage: Eukaryota; Viridiplantae; Streptophyta; Magnoliopsida; Zingiberales; Zingiberaceae
Product: small nucleolar RNA R11/Z151
Exons: 1
Source: RefSeq, a predicted model, not a curated record
UGGCUGAUGAUGAAUGAUCUCCAAGAUCUUAGCGUAUUUCAGCGAGGCCUUUUGGUCUAUGAUCUUACAAAUGUUGUUACACACACUGAAGCCU